RNAcentral lists this ribosomal RNA (432 nucleotides) under uncultured bacterium. RNAcentral's name for it is "bacterial SSU rRNA". It matches the Rfam family "Bacterial small subunit ribosomal RNA", at positions 958 to 1392 of the family's 1533-position model. The record is from RNAcentral.
AACGCGAAGAACCUUACCUACCCUUGACAUGCCAGGAAGCCCGCUGAGAGGUGGGUGUGCCCGAAAGGGAGCCUGGACACAGGUGCUGCAUGGCUGUCGUCAGCUCGUGUCGUGGGAUGUUGGGUUAAGUCCCGCAACGAGCGCAACCCUUGUCACUAGUUGCUACGCAAGGGCACUCUAGUGAGACUGCCGGUGACAAACCGGAGGAAGGUGGGGAUGACGUCAAGUCCUCAUGGCCCUUAUGGGUAGGGCUUCACACGUCAUACAAUGGCGCAUACAAAGGGCUGCCAACCCGCGAGGGGGAGCCAAUCCCAGAAAGUGCGUCGUAGUCCGGAUUGCAGUCUGCAACUCGACUGCAUGAAGUCGGAAUCGCUAGUAAUCGCGGAUCAGCAAUGUCGCGGUGAAUACGUUCCGCGGGUCUGAUACACACCG